CACCUGCCCUCCAGAUCUUAAGAGUUUAUGAAAAGGCCCUAAUUGGGCUCCGUCAUGUGUAUUGUGCAGGUGUCAUCAACACAACAGCAUCCUCAUCUCCAGGCGCUGUCCUUGGAGCAGCCUCCGGGAGCAGGCAAGGGCCAUCUUGCAGCAAACCUUCCCCCUGCUGAAUGAAGCCCAUUGCCGGGGCCUCUGGUCCUGCCAAGGAAAGAGCUGGUUUACAUCUCCCUGACUGGACCCCGAGCACCUGGAGGACAGAGACUGUGUCUCAUUUGGCAUUUAUUGUGUGCAGCACACGGCACAGGAACACGACAGACAUACCCAGAAAAGUGCAUUCCGGAAGGAGAACUCCCUUGCUUGAGAGCGUUGGCAAUCCUAAAUAAACAAAAAUGCAACAUUUAGAAACAGCUCAUCUGGUGUUUCACGUCUCAUCUGCUGCCCAGUUGGUCUGAGAAUGUGGCCCAAAAGAUGGCUUAGAUGAUCUAUGACCAAGUGAUCCAACCCCGGACAAAAGAUUCAUUAAUUUGCUACAGAGAAAAUGUGGCCCACAGAGUCAAAAUUUAAAAAAAAAAAAAAAAAAAAUUUUAAAGUUCUGUUUUCAAUUUGGAAUUUGAGCUAUCCUGACAUUGGCCCAAGUGUGGUGGAAAGGCAAGUCUUUUAUAUCCUUGAGUUGUUUUGACAUAGCCAGGGACACUUGGAGGAUAAGAUUCAACAAAUGUGGGCGCCUGGGUGGCUCAGUGGGUUAAGCUGCUGCCUUCGGCUCAGGUCAUGAUCUCAGGGUCCUGGGAUCGAGUCNNNNNNN
Molecule: long non-coding RNA, 802 nt
Filed under: Mustela putorius furo (domestic ferret)
Lineage: Eukaryota; Metazoa; Chordata; Mammalia; Carnivora; Mustelidae
Description: lncRNA (ENSMPUG00000027384.1)
Source: RNAcentral